Drosophila willistoni is the source of this 1746-nucleotide long non-coding RNA. RefSeq lists it as uncharacterized. The transcript has 2 exons. The record is from RefSeq and is a predicted model, not a curated record. NCBI's taxonomy places the organism in Eukaryota, Metazoa, Arthropoda, Insecta, Diptera, Drosophilidae.
UUCCAUGAAUCCCUGGUGCCGCUUGGCUGACACCUAGACAAAGUCCAAAUAAGGCAAAUACUACUAAAAAGUUCAUCUUGUUAUGUUUCUAAACAGCAUUUGAAAAUGUGCUUUAUAUAGAAGUUCAUUACUAUCACUAAUUAGUAUAUCUAAUUGGCGUAAUAUCUGUAUAUUUCCGAAAGCGCACCUGCUUGUCUUAUAUAACGAGUAAUGUUAGCUGUAGUAGAGAGGACGGUGUUGAGUGAUAACCAAGUUACUAGUCUGCUUCUGUGAUAUAAGCCAUGAUAAAAGCCUCUGCCUAAACCCAAGGUGAUAGAGCAAGUUGCAGAACCCUUGAGCGUAAUUUUGAAGCGGUUUUUUAUCAGAUAUAAAAAUCUUUAUAACAUUUAUAUAGAAACCGCUGUAGGCGAAAGUGGCUUUUGGUCCAUUUCAAUUAAUGGGAAAAAAAGAAGUUGUUAUAUGUAACACAAAAUUAAAUUACAUUUUUAUUUUAAAUACAAUUUAAGUAAACUUUUUAAUCAUUAAGAUCGUCCAGAGCAGGCCAGAUAGUCAUUCCAAAAGCUGCUUGACUUACACCCAGGCAAAUUGAAGCGAAUAGACCAACAACUAUUAAAAUCUUCAUCUUGAGGUAUAUUGUAUGCAAACUUUUAAAAGUCACUAUAUAUACGCGCAAAAGUGUAACCAAUAGGUGUAAAAAAUUGUAAGUAACUUUAUCGAAUCCACAGAAAACAAUUAGAACUAUUUUUAUGAACGAAGAGAAUACGUAAAUCAAAUUAUACCAUGCAGAAUAGAAUUGUCUAUGACUAAAAACUUGCAGUAUCAGUUUUUGAAUCAAACAUUUUACAAUUAAAAACCCUUAAUGAAAACGUUUUCAGGGUGAUCCUUAAUAGAUCACUAACAGAUUUUUUGGUUGAACCUCAUAGUACUUUGACAUUUAUAGUCAGGCUAACGUGUGAUUCCUUACGAAACCUGGCUAACAACCGCACAAUCUUCAAUAUUAUAGCAGAUGUUAAACCGCUUUUCAUAGUGAUGGGUAAACGAUAUUUUUUAAGGCUAAUAUUUGUAAUGAAUAGUUAAUUGAAAGUUGACAAAAGAUCUGCAAAUAAUAAGCUACCAAAAAAGUUUCAUCCAAUCAAGCAAAAAAUGUUUUAUUGAAAACAAAAGCAAUCCAUAAAUUUUAAUCAAUAAGUUCAUUUAAGAAUGGUGCCGCUCGGCUUAGACCGAGGUAAAGUCCGGCGAGUAAUACGACAUUCAAUGGGUAAUUCAUUUUGGUAGAUUAUGAAAAAUAUGCAGUAAGUUACUUCAUAUAGAUUUAUGCCUUAAGUGAAGCUAAUUAGCGUAGAUUAAUAUAACUAAACCCAAUCCGAUUGGAUAAAGCGUGCAAAUUUUUGGUAUACAAAAAGUAAAAAAGUUUACAAACUCAAUGUAAGCUUAAAAGCAAACUUCAGAAAAGAAACGGGUCUAAAAUCAUUUCUAAAAACUAAAGGGAAAAUUUGAGAUUUCAAGUUUUUCUAACGGUAGUUUUGACAGCAGUCGUGAUCCAAUCCAGAGAAGAUGGUACCUAAUUAGUAAGAAAUAAUUAGAGGUACUUCAUGUAUUUCACUAAAAAACAGGACUAUGCCACAUAAAGGAACACUAAUUUGAGAUUAGCAUUAAUAACAGUAGAUAAAAUUCACUCAAAAAAAAGAAUGUUUCCUGUGUUAGAUCUUUAAUGAAGAGCUUAAAAUAUACAAAUUAUAAAUAAUA